AAUCAACGCUGGCGGCGUGCCUCAGACAUGCAAGUCGAACGCGAAAGUUCCCUUCGGGGGGCGAGUAGAGUGGCGCACGGGUGAGUAACACGUAGGUAAUCUACCUUUGGGUGGGGAAUAACAGCCGGAAACGGCUGCUAAUACCGCAUAAUGCAGCGGCUCGACAUCGAGACAGUUGUCAAAGCGGGGGAUCGCAAGACCUCGCGCCUAAAAGAGGAGCCUGCGGCGGAUUAGCUUGUUGGUGAGGUAAUGGCUCACCAAGGCAUCGAUCCGUAGCCGGCCUGAGAGGGCGGUCGGCCACACUGACACUGACAUACGGGUCAGACUCCUACGGGAGGCAGCAGU
Molecule: ribosomal RNA, 345 nt
Filed under: uncultured bacterium
Lineage: Bacteria
Description: bacterial SSU rRNA
Rfam family: Bacterial small subunit ribosomal RNA
Source: RNAcentral